GACGAACGCUGGCGGCGUGCUUAACACAUGCAAGUCGAACGGAAAGGCCCUGCUUUUGUGGGGUGCUCGAGUGGCGAACGGGUGAGUAACACGUGAGUAACCUGCCCUUGACUUUGGGAUAACUUCAGGAAACUGGGGCUAAUACCGGAUAGGAGCUCCUGCUGCAUGGUGGGGGUUGGAAAGUUUCGGCGGUGGGGGAUGGACUCGCGGCUUAUCAGCUUGUUGGUGGGGUAGUGGCUUACCAAGGCUUUGACGGGUAGCCGGCCUGAGAGGGGGACCGGCCACAUUGGGACUGAGAUACGGCGCAGACUCCUACGGGAGGCAGCAGUGGGGAAUAUUGCACAAUGGGCGGAAGCCUGAUGCAGCAACGCCGCGUGCGGGAUGACGGCCUUCGGGUUGUAAACCGCUUUCGCCGGUGACGAAGCGUGAGUGACGGUAAUGGGUAAAGAAGCACCGGCUAACUACGUG
Molecule: ribosomal RNA, 468 nt
Filed under: uncultured bacterium
Lineage: Bacteria
Description: partial 16S ribosomal RNA
Rfam family: Bacterial small subunit ribosomal RNA
Source: RNAcentral